Molecule: ribosomal RNA, 253 nt
Filed under: uncultured bacterium
Lineage: Bacteria
Description: partial 16S ribosomal RNA
Rfam family: Bacterial small subunit ribosomal RNA
Source: RNAcentral
UACGUAGGGUGCGAGCGUUAAUCGGAAUUACUGGGCGUAAAGCGUGCGCAGGCGGUUUUGUAAGCCAGAUGUGAAAGCCCCGGGCUUAACCUGGGAAUGGCAUUUGGGACUGCAAGGCUUGAGUGCGGCAGAGGAGACUGGAAUUCCUGGUGUAGCAGUGAAAUGCGUAGAUAUCAGGAGGAAUACCGACGGCGAAGGCAGGUCUCUGGGCUGACACUGACGCUCAGGCACGAAAGCGUGGGGAGCAAACAGG